UACAGAGGUCUCAAGCGUUGUUCGGAUUCAUUGGGCGUAAAGGGUGCGUAGGUGGCGCGGAAAGUCGGGUGUGAAAUUUCGGAGCUUAACUCCGAAACUGCAUUCGAUACUGCCGUGCUUGAGGACUGGAGAGGAGACUGGAAUUUACGGUGUAGCAGUGAAAUGCGUAGAGAUCGUAAGGAAGACCAGUGGCGAAGGCGGGUCUCUGGGCAUCUCCUGACGCUGAGGCGCGAAAGCGUGGGGAGCAAACGGG
This 253-nucleotide ribosomal RNA is filed under the name uncultured bacterium. RNAcentral's name for it is "partial 16S ribosomal RNA". It matches the Rfam family "Bacterial small subunit ribosomal RNA", at positions 524 to 776 of the family's 1533-position model. The record is from RNAcentral.